RNAcentral lists this ribosomal RNA (897 nucleotides) under uncultured crenarchaeote. Its description in RNAcentral is "bacterial SSU rRNA". It matches the Rfam family "Archaeal small subunit ribosomal RNA", at positions 21 to 903 of the family's 1478-position model. The record is from RNAcentral. Lineage: Archaea; Thermoproteati; Thermoproteota.
CCCGACUGCUAUUUGGGUGAGGAUAAGCCAUGCGAGUUGAAUGGGAAACCUAAAGUUCCCAUGGCAAACUGCUCAGUAACACAUGAUCAACUUACCCUAUAGAGAAAAAUAACCUCGGGAAACUGAGGAUAAUGUUUCAUAGUUGAAUUGGCUUGGAAAAGUUUUUCGACGAAAGGGGUAAAAAAAAUGGUUUUUAUCUGCUAUAGGAUAGGAUCGUGUUCGAUUAUGGUUGUUGGUGAGGUAAUGGCUCACCAAGCCGAUAAUCGAUAGGGGCCGUGAGAGCGGGAGCCCCGAGAUGGGUACUGAGACAACGACCCAGGCCUUACGAGGCGCAGCCAGGCGCGAAACCUCCGCAAUACACGAAAGUGUGACGGGGUUACCAAAGUGUUCAAUUUUGAACUGUGGUAGGUGAGUAAUGUUCCCUACUAGAAAGGAGAGGGCAAGGCUGGUGCCAGCCGCCGCGGUAAAACCAGCUCUUCAAGUGGUCGGGAUMAUUAUUGGGCUUAAAGUGUCCGUAGCCGGUUUAGUAAGUUCCUGGUAAAAUCGGGUAGSUUAACUAUCUAUAUGCUAGGAAUACUACUAUACUAGAGGGCGGGGAGAGGUCUGAGGUACUGCAGGGGUAGGGGUGAAAUCUUAUAAUCCUUGUUGGACCACCAGUGGCGAAGGCGUCAGACUGGAACGCGCCUGACGGUGAGGGACGAAAGCCAGGGGAGCGAACCGGAUUAGAUACCCGGGUAGUCCUGGCCGUAAACGAUGCAUACUAGGUGAUGGCACGGCCAUGAGCCGUGUCAGUGCCGUAGGGAAACCGUUAAGUGUGCCGCCUGGGAAGUACGGUCGCAAGGCUAAAACUUAAAGGAAUUGGCGGGGGAGCACCACAAGGGGUGAAGCCUGCGGUUC